Long non-coding RNA from Lotus japonicus, 1205 nucleotides. RefSeq lists it as uncharacterized. The transcript is spliced from 2 exons. NCBI's taxonomy places the organism in Eukaryota, Viridiplantae, Streptophyta, Magnoliopsida, Fabales, Fabaceae. The record is from RefSeq and is a predicted model, not a curated record.
UAGUGAUCAUGCUCAAUCACGUGUUAGCUUGAUGGAAAACUACUUCUUAAGGCAACAAGUUAGUUCGCUAGCAUUUAUAUAUACCACACUCUAUAUCUAUCUUUGUUAGAUCCUUCUUUGUAACAUACAAACAAAUGCAUAUAUGAUCUUUUGUUAACUUUAGUAUGAUGGGGAUUCAACAAACUUUAUGUUGCAUGUUUAUGGUCAGCAAAAUUAAUUUCUUUAUUCAACAUAUAUUCAGGUCUACUACGUUUGGUGGAUAUAUAGUUAGUAGCAAUGGAUAACAGAAAAACACAAUGGCUUCCCAGGUUUUUAAAAUCAAAGAACAUUUUUUUGAUCUGCAAGUUUUUGGGGUGCUAUUUUACUAUUUUAUUACUUUUUUCUGUUGGUAUACUAGGAAAUCGAUUGUUUAAGGACAUGAAACAUAUGAUUUUGGUGUUCAAAUACUAGGAAUCGAUUUCCCAGCCACGUUAUAUAAGCAACUGCUUCUUCUUCCAUUCGUUCACGCGACUCCUUCUCCAUAGGGUUCUAUUUUCGCGAUUUUGAAGCUUCUUUACCAUCUAGAUCACCCGAUUCUCCACCGAUUUGAGUGAACUAAAGCUCAAUUUCAUAAUAUUUUGAGUGUUCUAAACACUUUCCCCUACUCAGAUUCUUCAAUUUCUCACCCAUUUGAAAGAUCCCAAAUCCCUAAAAUCAUGUCUUCCUCUCGUCCUUCAAACUUGACUGUCAAGCAUGGAAAAGGAAAGACCAAGGAGCCAAGGAAUCCUCUAGAUAUAUCUUGUUUGCUUGAUGGUGAGGAUCUAAGGGUCGUCUUCAUGAAGUUCUUUACUCAGAGGGUAUUUUGAUCUAAAGUUUCAAAGAGGAUCAUGAAGUGCAAAAUAAAGGGAGAGUUGCUCUUGUUUGGACUGAAAUUUCAAAGAGUGUUUUGUCAUCAUCAAAAAGGGGAGAUUGUGAAGAAGAGGUCGUGCUCCUACAACCUUGGGCAUGUUUUGACGAUCACAACAACACUACAAAGAAGAAAAAGGAUUGAAUACCUCUAGUUAGAAGAAUGAAGAUUGUAAUAGCUAGAUUUAUUGCCCUUGAUAAAAAGGGUUUCCUGUGUCUUUUUCUUGAAAAAUUGUAAAGUCGUCUUCAACUUUCUACAUCUUCUUUUAUAUGUAUCAUUUGUUGUGGAACUGAUGAUGAAAAUAUUUUUUUUACAACAA